RNAcentral lists this ribosomal RNA (519 nucleotides) under uncultured eukaryote. RNAcentral describes it as "SSU rRNA". It matches the Rfam family "Eukaryotic small subunit ribosomal RNA", at positions 1161 to 1703 of the family's 1831-position model. The record is from RNAcentral.
AGGGCACCACCAGGAGUGGAGCCUGCGGCUUAAUUUGACUCAACACGGGAAAACUCACCCGGCCCGGACACCGUAAGGAUUGACAGACUGAGAGCUCUUUCUUAAUUCGGUGGGUGGUGGUGCAUGGCCGUUCUUAGUUGGUGGAGCGAUUUGUCUGGUUAAUUCCGAUAACGAACGAGACUCUGGCCUACUAAAUAGACGGUAUAUCUGAAAGUAUACCGCGCUUCUUAGAGGGACAAGCGGCGUCUAGCCGCAUGAAAUAGAGCAAUAACAGGUCUGUGAUGCCCUUAGAUGUCCGGGGCUGCACGCGCGCUACACUGAAAGAAUCAGUAUGCGCCGUCGCCUAGUUCGGAAGAACCGGGUAACCCGAGCAAAUUCUUUCGUGCUUGGGAUAGGGAAUUGCAAUUAUUUCCCUUAAACGAGGAAUUCCCAGUAAACGCGGGUCAUAAGCUCGCGUUGAUUACGUCCCUGCCCUUUGUACACACCGCCCGUCGCUACUACCGAUUGGAUGACUUAGUG